GGCAAGACACACACCGGCACCACGAACCAAGUCCAAGGCACGCCAGGCAAAAGAACACGCCGAGCACGCACACCCACACGCGAGUCCCUUUCCCUUCCCUUCCAGGCUGCCCGCCCGGCUGCCUGUUGUUAUCGUCGUCGUCGUCGCAUCCCCCACCCCACUCCGCGUGUCGAUCUGCUCCCCCCAAACCACACGGACGCACACACACGGACGCACGCACGAAUCAAUCAGGCACCACACCACCCCCUUCCCUGCGUCCCGGAGACAGAAAAGUCUCCUCCCAUCUCCGCCCUGGCCCCCUCUCAAACAUCCCCGCGGCGAUGGAUCUCCGUCUCGCCCACUAGCCCGCCAGCGCGACCGUGGGUGUGGGUGGGUACGGGGAUGGGACUCCUCGGGCGGAGGCCGUGGCUGCUGCUCCUCGCCCUCGCUUCCGCGGCCGUCGCCGUCGCCGUCGCCGUGGAAGCCUCCGAGGGCGACGCUGAUCCGCUCUACAGAGCCUGUGUGGAAGGAUGCCAAAAAACAGGCUCCCUGAAGGAGGCUUCUAUUAAACACUGUAUGGUGCCAACCGAUGGCCAGCCUGCUGACAAAUCGUGGUACGCGCACGAGCCGCUGUACUUGCAAUGGAAGGACUGGAACUGCAAGAGCGAAUGCAGAUACCACUGUAUGAUGGAAAGGGAGGGCGAAAGAGCAAAGCUUGGCCUUCAGCCUGUUAAGUAUCAUGGCAAAUGGCCUUUGAAACGCGCCUCUGUGUUUCAGGAGCCUUUAUCUGCAGCUCUCUCCGCUCUUACUCUCGUUGUGCAAUUUAAUGGGUGGCUAUCGUUCUUCCUCUUGCUUUAUUAUAAGCUUCCUCUACGGCCAGAAACUCACAAGACAUACUACGAAUACACUGGCCUGUGGCACAUCUAUGGGCUCCUUGCCAUGAAUUCAUGGUUCUGGAGUGCCAUAUAUCACAGUUGUGACACAAUUUGGACAGAAAAGCUAUAUUUUUCAUCAGCUGCUGCCUUUCUGGGGUACUCUCUCAUUUUGGCGAUACUGCGGACUUCAAGUUUAAGAGACGAAGCUUCUAGAGUCAUGGUUGCCGCUCCUAUUCUGGCAUUUGUGACAACCCACAUUCUGUACCUCAACUUCUAUGAGCUUGACAAAGGCCUAAACAUGAAGGUUUGUACUGUGAUAAGCAUUGCUCAGUGUCUCCUGUGGGCACUGUGGGCUGUCAUGAGUGGGCAUCGUUCGCGGCUCAAGAUCAUAUCUGUCGCCGUCGGAGGUGCGGUUGCAGUACUUGUGGAAGCCUACGACAUUCCACCGCGAUGGGGAUACGCAGAUGGCCGUGCUAUCUGCCUCGCUGUGGCUAUCCCCCUGUCGUACCUUUGGUGGAGCUUUGCCAAGGAGGAUGCUGAGAUGCGAACAUCAGCAAUCCUAAAGAAGACACGAUAACGAGGAAAUGCGACAUGCCGCCUGUGUGCACCCACCCAGCCAUUGUAAAGAUAAAAGUUUCACUUGUAAUCUUAGCAACUGAACACUUGGUAGGCUCGUGCUCAUCAACUGCAAUCUCAGAAGAUUGUUACCAUGCGUUAGUGAAUGGCCGCUUAUCAUAAUAAUGUCUGUGGGCGCUUUUGUUGGCUAUUUCUUGUGAGAUCCUGAGCAAAUUUGGUGUGCAAUUGUUGUAUAAAACAUGAAGAAAAAGAUGAAGUUGAAACGCAUCGCACGCUUAGUAGUGUUUGGUUCCGGAUUGUGGUAAGAAGUGUUUGGUUCUGGAUUGUGGUAGUA
This is an RNA transcript of Zea mays, 1764 nucleotides long. It is a transcript of the gene named Per1-like family protein, with no coding region annotated. NCBI's taxonomy places the organism in Eukaryota, Viridiplantae, Streptophyta, Magnoliopsida, Poales, Poaceae. The record is from RefSeq and is marked predicted. The transcript is spliced from 6 exons.